CAAAUUUGCAAGGAUCAUUGAAGAAGAGGAAGAACAAUGACUAGUAAACUGAAGAUUAUUAUUUCAACCUUGAUUUUAGUUACUCUAUUCUCAAUAGGUACGAACGGUUUAGUACUCCAACGCGAGAAGUGUUUUUAUCAAUGUGACCUAACAACUAAUAAUUGCAAUACCUUAUGUACUGGCAAGGGAUAUUAUAGAGGAUAUUGUACUGAUGAUCCGUCUUUUACUGUUCCAUUGUGUUGUUGUUACAGUGGUUGAAAAAUUAUAACUUAGAAUUUUUCUUUUAGUUUGCAUAAAAUAUUAUGUUUUAUAAAAUAUAGAACAUAAAAUAUUAUCGUAAAGUAUGAUUGACAAAUUAGGGGAUACCUAAUGAAAUAAAGUGUGUUAUAUUUGCAUAAAUUCUGCAUGAUAGUUGUUUAAUCAUCUUAAAUUCAAAUUAUAAGUUUGACCUUUUUUUUAA
Molecule: non-coding RNA, 460 nt
Organism: Cicer arietinum (chickpea)
Lineage: Eukaryota; Viridiplantae; Streptophyta; Magnoliopsida; Fabales; Fabaceae
Source: RefSeq, a predicted model, not a curated record